CGGAGCGCCUAUGAAGGAGAUUUCGGUCAACGGAAUAGGUUGCUUAGUGGCGGACGGGUGAGUAACGCGUGAGGAACCUGCCUUUCAGAGGGGGACAACAGUUGGAAACGACUGCUAAUACCGCAUAACACAUAGGUGUCGCAUGGCAUUUAUGUCAAAGAUUUAUCGCUGAAAGAUGGCCUCGCGUCUGAUUAGCUAGUUGGUGAGGUAACGGCUCACCAAGGCGACGAUCAGUAGCUGGACUGAGAGGUUGGCCGGCCACAUUGGGACUGAGAUACGGCCCAGACUCCUACGGGAGGCAGCAGUGGGGAAUAUUGGGCAAUGGGCGCAAGCCUGACCCAGCAACGCCGCGUGAAGGAAGAAGGCUUUCGGGUUGUAAACUUCUUUUGACAGGGAAGAGUAGAAGACGGUACCUGUCGAAUAAGCCACGGCUAACUACGUGCCAGCAGCCGCGGUAAUACGUAGGUGGCAAGCGUUGUCCGGAUUUACUGGGUGUAAAGGGCGU
RNAcentral lists this ribosomal RNA (505 nucleotides) under uncultured bacterium. Its description in RNAcentral is "bacterial SSU rRNA". It matches the Rfam family "Bacterial small subunit ribosomal RNA", at positions 62 to 570 of the family's 1533-position model. The record is from RNAcentral.